Lineus longissimus is the source of this 528-nucleotide long non-coding RNA. RefSeq lists it as uncharacterized. NCBI's taxonomy places the organism in Eukaryota, Metazoa, Nemertea, Pilidiophora, Heteronemertea, Lineidae. The record is from RefSeq and is a predicted model, not a curated record. The transcript has 3 exons.
AAUUGACCUGCCGCCUAUUAUCAGUUCUGUAACUAGGAGGAAGUGACGUAGAUAGAGGCAGCCUACAUAAUGACCAUAACACAAUGUGUACUUGGAAGAGCAUUAUGAAGAGGGAAAAAUGGUAUUAAUUAGUUGAAUAGGCACACCAAACAUGCCAGGAACUGGAAACUGAGAGAAGUUUGGAACAACCGCUGUCUAACGUUACAAACAAGUGACCACGAAUAAACCAGGUUUGCCAAAAUGUAUAUGGAUUAUACAUCAACAAACUCAAGAUCACAGCUAUUCCAAUCCAGCAGGAAAUGUUAUGAAGCAACAUCCCAAGAGUCACAGAUACUGCUGUGUACCUCACUGCACCAGUCGUGGUUACAACAAAGAUGAUGAGCAUGGUGAAAACUUGCACCACUUCAGAUUUCCAGAUUUUUUGGUGCAAAUACUAGUACAGCUGUAUUGAUGCUUUAUCUUUUUCUGUAUCUAUUAUCCUUGAAAAUACAUACUCAUUGGCAUCAAAAUAGUUUUGUAACUUUUUUA